CGAUCUGUGGCGGAGACCGGCGGAGAGGUUUUCAUAUGGUGAAACGUGGCUUGAACGGAUCCAACGGCGGUCAAUGAAAGAGAAGGUUUGGGUCUCUCGUUUAUGGAUUUCGGGUCAAAACCGUUGCUUCCUUUUUACCCUUUUCUUUCUUCUUCGUCUCUGCGAGACCAGAGUUGCGAAAACCCUCAACGCCAUUUCCCUCUUCUUCGUUCCUCCUCUCUCUUGUUCUCUAUUCUUCCUCCUUUCUUCGUAUCUGUUCAGCGGCAUCCGAAGCGCGAAGUCAUCUCCCAUUUCAUGUGUGCCCAGAGAGACAACGAGGAAUCACUGUUAGAGAGAGAGAGGAGAUGGCAACUUCAGGUGUACCAGACAUCAAUGUCGUUGCUCUUUGCGGCUCCCUCCGCAAAGCUUCCUACCAUCGUGGCCCCAUCCGCUCUGUUACUGUUAUUGCUACUGCUGCUGCUUCUUUUUGUUAUUUAUGUAGACUUUAAGAUCGGGAAUCUAAUUCGUAUUCUUUCCUACUACAUUUGGUUCCAAGAUCUCAGCUGCUUUGGUUAUUCCAAUCUCGGAGUCUUCAACGACGAUUGAGUCUCGGAUGAAGGUUGUUGCUCCGCCUUAUCUGGUUCAGCCUCCUCCACAGUAGUUCGAGAAGCCUGCAUCGACGAAUUCGGUCGUCUGUGUUUGGACUCUUCUGAAAUGCUGUCGCUUAAUUUCAAAGUGCAGCGCAUUCGAGCUUGGAUGAGUAUUUGGCCGACUGGUUUGGUUUGAAUCAGUCGAGAUAUCACUGGGCGUUGAAUGAUUAUUAUGAAAGCAGGUGAAUGGGAGGAGAGGAGGACGAUGGAGGGGUUCAGCUCUUUGAUUUUAAGAGGUAGAGCAAGAGUGAUGAACAGCUGAGAGAAAGGGGGAAAUGAUUCUUAAGAAGAAGAGGCUGGCUGGGAAAUUUCACAGAGAGGAAGUUUUGGUGAGGAAUUUGAGUUCUAGGCUUUCAUUGCAUGAAGAACUCACUCUGAAUCGCCUCAUCUGGUGGAGCGACCAUCGAUUAUCACUCUGAGAUCUUUCUUUCUCUCUUCUCAGGCGUAUAAACUCAGGAUAUGUGUAACGGUAGAACACCCCAAUCGAUUUGGGCGAUACCAUUUUGUGUCUUCUUCGUUGUGAAGUUGGUGGCUACUGUGUUGAAGCAGCAGCAACUCCAAGGUGGUGAAUACUUGGAUUGAGAUUGGUGGUGAUGCCUUUCCUGCAGGCUUUUGCGGUUCUUCUUCUCCUUUUCUUUUACUGUUCUGUCAGUUCCAGCAAGUAGCUUCACUCUAUCAUGGCCUACCACUGGGGAGAUUUCUAAACUUUCCUCGGUCUCUUAUUCUUAAUUUAUUCCUGCUGCUACUACUCAUUUUUGCAGGUUUUCUUUAUUUUUUCUUAUCUUGUGAUUUCUGUUUUGCGCCAUUCUAGUUGCAGGAAUUUCAUGCUUCGGUCCUUCCAAUACAGCUGUUGGAUGGGCCUCCUUUUUUGAUAUUGUCUCUACCACCAAGUUGGGAUAAGGCUGAGUGUUGUCUUUACCUUCAACCAUAAUUUGAGAGGCAUCUGACCAACAGUGUGAGUUAUUGCUACUCUUAUGAGUUGAUAAUUUCUGGUUUUCUUUAGUUUCUAUUUUCUGUUCACACUUGAUAAUAUCAGAUUGCCUUGAUAUUUUAGGCACAGAAUCCAUCUAUUAGACUUCCAGUGGACCGUAGCAAUUUUCUGCCUAAUGUUCUCAGUUUUGGUUCAUUGUGGUUCUGGUUUUCUAAUAGGUUUCGUAGUGUUCGUCCCUUCAGCCUAGUAAAUCUCAUCGUGGCCUAUUAAGAUAAGCUUGUCUACAUGGCCCAAAAUAUACUAAUAUAUGGUAGCCGCCCAAUUUCCUUAUACAUUCUGUGGCUGUCACUAGCUCAAGGACUACACAAUGGGUCUCCAUUUCUAUGCACGAGCAAGUACCAGUAGUAGCAAUAUAACUCUCCAAAUGAAUUUAAAAAAGGUUCAGGAUCUGCGCUGAGAAAUGAAGUAGGCAAAUUCAAAAUGAACAAAUGGUCCAACCAUGUUGUGCCCAUUUCAGUAAAAGAAAAAAAAAAAGGUCCCACUAUAGCUAAAUCAACAUAAGUCAUCUCAUUAUCAUAAUAAAUAAUUCUACUUCACUAAAAGGCAGAGUUGCAAGUUCUGCAUGUGUUGGUAAGAUGGAUAGCUGGCUAUCAUUUACUGGCUAAAUUGGAAACUAGAUUGGUGCACUAAUGGGUCCUAAUCAUCUUUUUAUUUGGCUUAGGUUUCAUAGAAAACUAACAUCCACAAUGCGGCAAAAUAAAUCAUUGGGAAGAUAAAGUUUUGGAAAGACAGUUGCACAAUUCAAAAAACAAGAUAGAAAAUCCAAUACAUAGUGAGUUAUAUGGUUGAUGAAUAUAAAUUUGCAUACAGUUAAUGGGGGAUACCUAUCUAAUAGUUUGAAUUGGUUAUAGAAGGCUUCCAUGUGGCUCAAUUAGGCUGCGACCAUGCUAAAUUGAAGAACAUUGAUCAUGAUAAAAAAUUUUAAUUUACCAAGUAUUAUGCUCCUUAUUAGUAAUGAAAGAAGAUAUAGAGUGACAAGGGCUGUGUUUUCGAAGUUAUUUUUGAAUUUUCCUUUGUCAAGGGAUGAAUCCACCUUGUACCAUGGUCCUUGUGGGUGGAAAGGGUGGAGGUGGGGGCUGAAGUUCUUUCUGUGCCCAACCCGCCAAUUUAACAUACCCCUAACGGGAUGUGCAUACAACUCUGCUCCCAUUUUAAAGCUCAUAGAAGGGAGAGGAGGGGGUGGGGUGGUAGGACCUUGGUGGUUGCAAAACUUUCAGUUGCUUAUUAUUUAAUUUUUUUUAUUUUUUGGCUUCUAACCAUCGAAUUGAUUAAAAUCUCGAGAUAAGUUACACGUUGAAUAUGGUGGCCUCAGUUAACUGUUUGACCUACCAUAUAUGAGGUUUUAUGCUUGUAAUUCAAAGGUUUGCCCAUUAUUUUUUUAAACAUUGUUUUGAAUUUUUUUUUUCAGUUUUAUUUUGACAUGUGGUAAUAUUAGAUUGAAAAUUAUUCAAUGAUUAGAUGAUGAUGUGGAUUCAUGUUCAUGAAAUUUGGAGGCAAACAAAUAUUGUCAUGUAGUGAAAAAAGUGAGGACAUCAGAUCACACCUUUACUGUAGGAUCUGAUUUGGUUUUUUAGUUCUUUUGGCUCAUGUGAGUAUCUAUUGGCAUUUGGACUUUGUAGACGUGUUGUUCAUGUAAUUAUCUAAUAUGAGUUGAUCAUCAACCCAAUCUGGCAUAGCCGUGUUAGAAUAAAGCUUUCAAAAUUGUAUGAAGCAAUCAAUUAUUGUAAAACAAAUACCAUUGAAAUAACAAGGGCUAAGGCCUUAUAUAGUUGAAAUGGACCACCAAUUUGACAUGCGGUUUUUUUAAGGGAUUUUUCAUGACUGUUAUGCUUAAAA
Macadamia integrifolia is the source of this 3456-nucleotide long non-coding RNA. RefSeq lists it as uncharacterized. The transcript has 4 exons. Lineage: Eukaryota; Viridiplantae; Streptophyta; Magnoliopsida; Proteales; Proteaceae. The record is from RefSeq and is a predicted model, not a curated record.